CAAUAGCGUAUAUUUAAGUUGCUGCAGUUAAAAAGCUCGUAGUUGGAUUUCGGGUGGGAAUGGCCGGUCCGCCGUUUCGGUGUGCACUUGCUACGCCCACCUUGCUGCCGGGGACGUGCUCUUGAGUUCACGCUCGGGACACGGAGUCGGCGAGGUUACUUUGAGUAAAUUAGAGUGUUCAAAGCAGGCCUACGCUCUGAAUACAUUAGCAUGGAAUAACACGAUAGGACUCUGGCCUAUCUUGUUGGUCUGUAGGACCGGAGUAAUGAUUAAGAGGGACAGUCGGGGGCAUUCGUAUUUCAUUGUCAAAGGUGAAAUUCUUGGAUUUAUGAAAGACGAACUACUGCGAAAGCAUUUGCCAAGGAUGUUUUCAUUGA
This 377-nucleotide ribosomal RNA is filed under the name uncultured eukaryote. RNAcentral describes it as "partial 18S ribosomal RNA". It matches the Rfam family "Eukaryotic small subunit ribosomal RNA", at positions 592 to 976 of the family's 1831-position model. The record is from RNAcentral.